This 459-nucleotide ribosomal RNA is filed under the name uncultured bacterium. RNAcentral describes it as "partial 16S ribosomal RNA". It matches the Rfam family "Bacterial small subunit ribosomal RNA", at positions 338 to 795 of the family's 1533-position model. The record is from RNAcentral.
CCUACGGGGGGCAGCAGUGAGGAAUAUUGGUCAAUGGCCGGAAGGCUGAACCAGCCAAGCCGCGUGAAGGACGAAGGUGCCAAGCAUUGUAAACUUCUUUUGUCAAGGGACAAAAUCAGGCUCGAGAGCCUGACCGAGGGUACUUGAAGAAAAAGCAUCGGCUCACUCGGUGCCAGCAGCCGCGGUAAUACGGAGGAUGCGAGCGUUAUCCGGAUUUAUUUGGUUUAAGGGGUGCGUGGGGGGACAGUUACGUCAGCGGGAAAGGCCCGGGGCUCAACCCCGGCGAGCCGUUGAAACUGGCUGUCUUGAGAUGUCGAGAGGUAGGCGGAAUGCGCAGUGUAGCGGUGAAAUGCUUAGAUAUUGCGAAGAACUCCGAUUGCGAAGGCAGCAUACCGGCGGCGAUCUGACGCUGAGGCACGAAAGCGUGGGUAUCGAACAGGAUUAGAUACCCCAGUAGUC